This is a long non-coding RNA of Bombus pyrosoma, 7105 nucleotides long. RefSeq lists it as uncharacterized. The record is from RefSeq and is a predicted model, not a curated record. The transcript is spliced from 5 exons. NCBI's taxonomy places the organism in Eukaryota, Metazoa, Arthropoda, Insecta, Hymenoptera, Apidae.
UAUCACGACCAACAGAUUUCAAAUAAUUCCACGUGUUUCGAGACCACAAUGCAAGACAGGAAAAAGAGUAGUCAGUGGUAUACUAGUGGCCUAUACUAGAAAUUUCAGGACUGGAUCGACCCAUGCUUUCUAAUUGCAUCAAAUGAAUUUUCGUUGAAACGACGCAGCAGAAAUUACAAAAUGGAAAACCACGUCAAAACGUUUUUCAAUGUCCUCGUCUUCAGAAUCCACCGCUGAAGCGGAUCCUCGUGCAGUAGCUGCACAGUGCACAUUCAGCAGGUUUCGCGUUGUUGAGAACACAGUUUUUAAGGCGCAUGAAAUUUUAUUAUCAUUCAACGUACAUGAUUUUUCUAUACAUCCAAAUCUAGGAAGUAGGAGCCAAAAAAUCAAAAAUGAAAACGAUGUUGAUCGCAUUUUUGUAGCCAAGGCGACUGAUUCGCCGAAUUUGUGUCUCCCGGUGAGAUUAUAGUUGAUCAUCAGAUUGUAACUGGAUCACUUUACGCAGACGUACUUGACCGCCUUUUGAAAAUAAUUCGUAGGAUCAACCGGAACACGUACCAAUUACGAGAAUGGUUUCUCCUGCACGACAGUGUUUCAGUACACUCGUCGUUGAUUACCUUCGUUUCUAUCAUUCGUUUCUAUCAGCAACCUUUUGCUAGAAAAUCGGUUGCAGCGAUUGAUCUUUCACUCUUCCAUCUUCUACUGUCCGGGUUUGGCGCCUGCUGACUUGUUUCUGUUUCCUAAGCUGAAAAUGGCACUGCAAGGAUAGCGCGUUUGGACGAUGUAGAAACGAUCCAGAAGAACGUGUCAGUCCUUUUAGGUUCAAUUUCAAAAGAGCACUACGCACACGUCGUUUAAAAUUCACAUAGUGAAAGAAUGCACGUUGGCUAAUAGACAAUGAAAUUUCUUAAUAACGUUGGUCCCGGAACUUCUUGAGCGAACUGCGUCUACAGGACACCCUGUAUAUCGCAGAGUAGAAAAGCUGAAGAAUAAUGGAACGUUUAUAACGAAACGUUUAAAAGGCUGUAAUUAAAUAAACAGAUCAAAGAAGAGAUAGACGAAGCUAAGGGAAGAGAAGAGAUUGACAGUACAAUCGGGUCAUUGGAUGUAAUAACAGCGGCCUAUUAUUAUAAUUGACCACAACAGUGGCGAUGGGAGCGAUGGUAAUAGCGACGGUAGUGACAGUGGUAUCACCAGAAGAACGGUUGUUCGCGCCGUGUCUCUCUGGCACUGGAUUUCUCUAGCUCUUUCACGAUACCGUGGCAACGCUUGCAAUAAAUCUGUGGUGUGCUGCGAUAUGGCAAUCGGCAGACUGCGUGACAUAUCGAUGCUACGAAACUCACUGAUGCUGUGAUUCCAUGUUGAUUGACGGCCAAGGUAUUCGUCGUUGGAUUAGACCACGUCAUCUGGUCACAAGGUACCAUUUAUUAUCGUUGCAACGUGCUUUUGUUAAAACAAUUUUCUACUUCGUACUAUACAAUGUUUAAUAAUCUUUUAAUUCAAACCGAAAGGGAUCUCCAUAUUAUUCGAACGGCCUAAUAUUUAAAGGAGCUGCUAUCCGAAUAUUGAGUUAUCUAAAACAGAACGUCUGUUAGUGACAAAUGCUGUUACUAAUCUUCAUAUUUUUCUGUUUUAAAUACCAUUUUUACAUUUAAUAGUAGGGUGUCUUAGCUAAAUGAGUUCAGCUAAAUAUCUGCCUUAUUUAUGGGUGUAUGAGAGUAUUUUCUUGUCAGGACAAAGUUCAACCAUUUGAAGCCUUGUAAUGUGGCUUGUGCGUAAUACAGUUUUAUGAAAAUGAUUGCACUGAGAGGCAUCAUGGUGAUUCGCAUCGACACGUGUUUCGAUAUACGUAAACAAAGAUGUGCUCAACAGCACACCUGGCUAUUGAGUUUGGCAACCAAGUGAUUGUGGAUUUUGUCAUUAGGUGAUAACCUAAUGCCAUCCCAAUAGUUGCAGUACAUCUACAACAAAUCGUGAACUUAUGUUCUACAAAGAUCUUCAAAGGUACUUCAUUAGAGGAAUAAUAGAGUGAUGGACUGAAGAAUAGAGAAAUUUAAGGCCUAUCAAGCUACGCAAAGUCCGUAACAAUAUAAAUGGCGACAAUCUGGCUUUAUGGUCGAAUAGAAAAGAUCAAGUAACAUUAACUCGAUUAAGAAUAAGACCACAACUCUACCAUGUUAUCAAAACUGAGCUAAAUAUUUGUGACGUUUAAGGCAUAUUGAACUUCAUCGAAGGUAUCCUACCUAAUCGUCUGCCUUAAUCAGAAUAUCAGAAGGGUACAACAUGACCUAACAAACUAUAAAACUAAAUAACAUGAUAUAAAAAGAAGACUCCGACGAAAAAGCUCCAGAUUUUCUGAAAGAUAUUGCUUUAUAAUAAUUAUGUGUUCUGUCUCACUGAGCAUUCUCACCGUGGUCAUUAAUAAUCAUCUUAGGAGUUACACGUUGAUCUUAAACACACAAUAAAAAAGAAAGAUGACGUAUAGUACUAGACAUGUGGCUGAUGCUUGUAUUCUAUUUAAUAUAAGUAGGAAAGGAAGAUGAUGAGCUGCUAACAGUAAACAGUGAAUGAAUAAUAUUAUUAAUUUCCAUAUGUAAUAAAUUUAUACGGCUAAAUGCAUUGUAACUUACAUGUUGGUCUCGUCCUGUUCGGUCUCGUCAAUGGAAUCCAUGGUCUUUGAGGUGGAUGAUUUGCAGUAACUGAAACAAGAAGUUUGUAUCAAUUAGUAAAGGCAGCGCCAAAUUAUAAAACUAUCAUACCACCUGUAUAUUUAUGAUCCAUUAACGAGCCGCAAUUUGGCUACCAUAGUUGACCAAGAGCUACGUGAACCGAUUUGCCAAAUAAGUAGCUGACGUAUAGGUAACGUUUUAUAGUACCGUAAAAUGACCCACUUCUCGCAGAAGCUUUAAAAGCGGAGCAGUAAAACAGAGAGAAAGAGGGUGAGUGAGGAAUCGGAAUAUAUGAAGAGGUACAAAGCGGAGAGCGUUAACGACUCUCCGGAAAUGGCGGUAACAACCUUGAAACCCAGAGACGUGACUCAACUCUGGCACAAAUGGCGGUACAUUAGACAAGUGGCAGGAGCAAAGUACGACGAGGCGCGAAGGUAAUCAAAAUUAACAAUUCAAAGCCUCUGACGUCGUACUAGUCGUAGAACGUGUUGAAGACUCGGCAAGAGUGCUCUUGCCUUCGUCUCCUUAUAUCCGCAACCAACCAGCUAGUUGACAGACAGAGUUCGGGUAGUAAUCUUCCAGUUGAAGACCAGUUCUAACGAAAUUCCUCCAACAUAGAGGAGCUGGAACUCUCGACUCGUAAUUUGUUCGUGUUGCCAUUCGACGCAAUUCAUUUGCUAAAUUUGCCCUACGUCAUGUCACGACGUACCGCUGUCCUCAACAGAAUUCCAAGUUGGAGAACGCCGAACCGGAAAUUGAACUUAACUUUCUAUUUAGUUUUCGCAGCCAGUUCCAGAAGUUCACAAGUAUGUAGCAGGAUCAAUUGCGGAAGGCUUGGCGAACGUUAGAGAACUCGCUCGUCAAGAAACUUUCGACAACUUUAGCUUUCUCGUCAGUCGCGCAAACGUAGGACGGCGAAAAAAUAUUUCGUUUUGUAUUAGACGCUAUCCCGUUUCAUUUUUGAACGAAUUUUGUGCAGAAAAAUAUUUGACGCAAAGUGUAAUGUAAGUACAAUCGUUCGGCGUAUCUUUGAAUUGGAAUAAAUUACGUGAAUAGCAAUUUUGAUAAUUUUCUGAUAAUCAGUUUGAGAUAAAUUGCACAAUUCUGAAACUUUUAAAUGCGUGCUAAAUGAAAUUUUUUUUUUAUUUAAUAAUUUACACUCACAAUUUGUCCAAUUUGGACAUUUGGUGGAAUUUUUCAGCUGUUUGAUCAUCGUGUGGGCGGCUACCCCCAGCGGGGUCCAUCUUCGUGUGAAAUAAAAUUUGAGUGAGAAAAUUGUACAGAGUCGAAGAAUGAUCAACUUCAUCUUAUCUUGCUGUGCCCAAACUAUUGUUUAGUCAAUUGGCUAAUCUUGAUAAAAUAAACAUAAAUGAAUAACUAGAUAAGAUAGAGAUAAGAAUUAGAUAAGAAUUACCAUGUGAAGAAGGAGAAGAAGCGCCUGUGAACUGGUUAAGAAAACCCUGAAUAAAAACUGGGAAGAGAGGUACCUAAUCUAUAGUUUCUAGACCAGGCUACUUUAGUUUGCAGUAGUUUACAUUAGGAUCGAAUAAGCAGGUUUAGCCAUUAGUUUGAACAUAAGUGGAAGGAUGCUAGCGAUAAGAGUAGAUACCGAGUACCAAAGUGACAUCCACAGAAUAGGACACCAAUGUGCAGUAUGCGAAGUAAGAGUGUCAGGCCAAAGAGACGCACAAAAUAUAUGACAACUUAAUUUAAUGGGAAGCCAAGUCCCAUCCUGUGACACCUAGGGCUUAGGAUUACAUAAUAAAUAACAACAAUAACCAGAUAAGGCAGAGAAACAGUAAAUGACGUGUGACUUUUUCGUGAGUACAACGAAGUAUCUUGUUCAAUUUGAAAUUCCAUGUGCAUAGAAACGAAUACACAAGGUGAAUCACACAAAACAUUGCAAACUAACUUUUCUGAAACUGCUGCAGACUUGCUUUUUUUUUUUAACUAAAUGGGAUACCACAGUUAAUUAUUUGGAGCAUAACAAAUUCCUUGGAGGAGGAGAAAUAAAAAAUGAAAAUUCUCCUGUCUCAGUUUUUCAGAUGGAACGACAUGUUAAUUUUUCGUUUCCAUAAAAGCUACAGAAUGUUGUUUAACGCUUGCGAAGUACUUUCAUGUGCAGCAACUAACCAUGCCAGACCCUUUCCACCCUAGUUUUCAUCUUUGAUCUUCGGUUUCAUUCUUUAAAUCUCCUUCUCAAAGUUGUAUACUGUCCAACUUGCUUUUAUAUUACUGUUUGUUCUAUUUUAUUUAUUUGUUCUGACACGUUCAGUUUCGCAGUUGCCACCUGUGAUUUGUAAUGCAAUUUAUGUUCAUUCGUAUUCACUGUAGUUCGUUUCAUAUAGUUUGAUACAAGUAGUUUGUUUCAUCGUAUUCUCUUAUGUUCGACGUCUUGAAUGGCCUUUCAUAAGCCUGCAGAUUCACUGUAUAAUUUAAUAUGAAUUGGUCGAGUGUUGCAGCAACUGAACAUUCAAUGUAUUUGUAACUUAUUUCUUCUGGUAAUAAACGCUCAUAGGAAACAAGGACUAGCCAUCAUGCUAUAAAUGUUGUACCAUAGACGUUUUGUAAGAACGCUCACAAUCCUCCUUUGUAAUCCUAUUAACAGAACCUCGAGAUAAUCCAGUGCCAACAGUAACAACGUGAGUACAAGUGAGUGGAUUUUUUUCAAAAUGAAUAAACACUAAAAAAGCAUCGUCAGCAUUUGUAAUCAGACUAGAUCUAUUUCUUUUCUUCUCGCGAUCUUCCCACGAGUUCUUAAAGUCUUUUCAAUCUUAUAAAAUAUCUUUUACGUGUCUCUGGAUAUCUCGUAGUGCGCACACACAGUUGCAACGUUACGUUCAUCGAACACGAAGAGUAUAUCAAUCUUUUUAUUAUACGAAUACGAAUUUUUCGUUAUCUAAGGACAAACCGAGACAGCGAAACGGUUUUAGCGGCGUGAGCAAUGCAUUUGUUUAUCGUUAUUUCGCAACGUGAAUGUUCCCAUUUUCUAAAAGUAUAUGAGAAAAUAUACGUUGUUUCUGAAUGCCUUGAUGUAAUCCAGACCCUGCGCAAGUUAUGUUCCCCAUAUUUACAUUCCGUUUGCAACGCGUUUAUGGUCGCUAAAUUUGCUACGAUAAAUAUCGCAGUCGUUUAUUGCAUUCAUUUGAAAAACAUAAGCCGGAAGGAUAUCAUUCUUUCGCUUUAAUAUGCCGAUGAUCGAUACCAUAUUUUAGAAUCCAAGGCCAUCUCAAGAUCGUAAUAUUCUAUUUCGCUUGGUUGAUGGUGUCAGAGAAAAUAACGAUAGUUUUAACGAGGCUACUGAUAGAAUAAUACAGCUGAUAAAAAUUAAGAAGAAUGACAAGACUCGUAGAUCAUUCAGGAAAUAAUUACGAACUUUGUUGCAGCCAAUUUAAGUGCAAUUCAAAGCAAUGGCAAUGGUAACGUAUCGUGAAAUGUUUCUUCUUCUCUUUUUUAAUUUCCAGGUUGUUUAUAUACUAUUACGACAAUAAAUAAAUCUUGCGUGGAACGUUGAUAUGCAGGUACUUGCUCGAUAGCUCAUAGCCGUACUUGGUACUUGAUUAUUGUCAGCUAUUUAUGUUUACUGAGUGCUGAGUUGAACUCAACUAAAUCGCGUUAGGAGGUCUGUUGGUUGGAAUCUCUUGAGUUUCCUCUUUACUCCACUUUCUACCCAAAGCGUUUUUGCCAAUUGAUUAAGAUGAGAGUUUGUUCUCGUGUCCGCUUGCAUGAGUAAUUAUUCCUUCUUCAGCGGAUGCUAUUUGCAAACCUCUGCGUAUUCCAUUAUUUCCAAUCGAAUAAAUACACAAUGAAUUAUAAUCAUUCCACAAUUCUACGUUCACGAUCAGUGUCCAUCAGAUACGAAAAAUAAAUUCUAAUGGUCUGCAACGAAUAUUAUAACCAUGUUAUAGACAAUACAGAAGAAUCAGCUCAAUAGAAAGAAGAAGAAAUACAGAAUCAGCUCAAUAUCUACCAGAUACUCACGAUUGCCCUCCUAUGCUGAAACGUUCGCUUAUUGUUAUUUAUAAGGAAGAAGGAGAACGAACGUGGAAAUUAUAAAAAACUACUCUGCAAUUUUAGUUUCAAAUGUUUGCUCAAACACCUCAAUAUUCGGUACAGUGUUUCGCGGCAAAGAACGAUCGUCAAGGAUCAUUUUUUAUGUAAACUGAAGUAUCAUCUCAUGCUCAUAAUAAACUGUACUACGAGCUCUACCAAAUUAUUAGUGUCUUUCCUUCACAGACACGUCUUUUACAACAAGGCAUCUUUAUACAAACAUGAAACCUAUUCUGUCGAACGUUGCAAUCUUCAUCUUGGUAGAACAAAAUGGAUCAUACGUAUUUCGAUAAAAUAAUAUAGAACGAAAAAUAUCGUGCACUCAUUAUUUCCCUAUAAAACGAAAGAAACUUUUCGGACGACUUAAUACUCCGAACUCCAACGAA